This 70-nucleotide transfer RNA is filed under the name Camelus bactrianus (Bactrian camel). It matches the Rfam family "tRNA". Rfam says of the family: Transfer RNA (tRNA) molecules are approximately 80 nucleotides in length. Their secondary structure includes four short double-helical elements and three loops (D, anti-codon, and T loops). Lineage: Eukaryota; Metazoa; Chordata; Mammalia; Artiodactyla; Camelidae. The record is from Rfam by way of RNAcentral. RNAcentral also lists the same sequence under 2 other names.
GGGUAUACCUCAGUGGUAGAGUGUGUGCUUAGCAUGCAUGAGGUCCUGGCUUAAAUCCCCAGUACCUCCA